This 73-nucleotide transfer RNA is filed under the name Felis catus (domestic cat). It matches the Rfam family "tRNA". From Rfam's summary of the family: Transfer RNA (tRNA) molecules are approximately 80 nucleotides in length. The record is from Rfam by way of RNAcentral. Lineage: Eukaryota; Metazoa; Chordata; Mammalia; Carnivora; Felidae.
ACCUGGUUGGCUCAGUUGGUAAAGCAUGUGACUCUUAAUCUCAGGGUUGUGAGUUCAAGCCCCACAUUGGGCA